This 629-nucleotide ribosomal RNA is filed under the name Rozella sp. Its description in RNAcentral is "SSU rRNA". It matches the Rfam family "Eukaryotic small subunit ribosomal RNA", at positions 445 to 1086 of the family's 1831-position model. The record is from RNAcentral. Lineage: Eukaryota; Fungi; Rozellomycota.
CCAAUGGUGACACACCGAGGUAGUGACAAUAAAUAACAAUGCAAGCCCUAUGGGUUUGCAAUUGGAAUGAGAACAAUUUAAAUCCCUUAUCGAGCAACAAUUGGAGGGCAAGUCUGGUGCCAGCAGCCGCGGUAAUUCCAGCUCCAAUAGCGUAUGUUAAUGCUGUUGCAGUUAAAACGUUCGUAGUUGAAUUUCGAAUGAGGCAAUGGUCUCCUCUAACGAGGUAGAACUAUUGCUGAUUUCUUCCUUCUGGGUAUUCAAAGUGCUCUUCAUUGAGUGCUUUGAAAACCAGAACCUUUACUUUGAAAAAAUUAGAGUGUUUAAGGCAGGCUUAUGCUUGAAUACAUUAGCAUGGAAUAAUAGAAUAGGACUUUGGUUCUAUUUUGUUGGUUUUUAGAACCGAGGUAAUGAUUAAUAGGGACAGUUGGGGGCAUUAGUAUUGUGGCAGUCAGAGGUGAAAUUCUUAGAUUUGUCCAAGACUAACAACUGCGAAAGCAUUUGCCAAGGAUGUUUUCAUUAAUCAAGAACGAAAGUUAGGGGAUCGAAGACGAUUAGAUACCGUCGUAGUCUUAACCAUAAACUAUGCCGACUAGGGAUCGGUGAAGUUCCAUUUAUGACCUCAUCGGCAC